AGUGAACGCUGGCGGUAGGCCUAACACAUGCAAGUCGAACGGCAGCACAGUAAGAGCUUGCUCUUACGGGUGGCGAGUGGCGGACGGGUGAGGAAUACAUCGGAAUCUACUUUUUCGUGGGGGAUAACGUAGGGAAACAGACGCUAAUACCGCAUACGACCUACGGGUGAAAGCAGGGGAGCUACGGACCUUGCGCGAUUGAUUGAGACGUUGUCGCAUUAGCUAGUUGGCAAGGUAAAGGCCCACCAAGGCGACGAUGCGUAGCGGACCUGAGAGGAUGAUCAGCCACACUGGAACUGAGACACGGUCCAGACUCCUACGGGAGGCAGCAGUGGGGAAUAUUGGGCAAUGGGCGCAAGCCUGACGCAGCCAUGCCGCGUGAGUGAAGAAGGCCUUCGGGUCGUAAAGCUCUUUUAUUAGGAAAGAAAAACUGCAUAUUUAACCACGCCUGUUCUGACGGUACCCAAAGAAUAAGCAACGGCUAACUUCGUG
This 492-nucleotide ribosomal RNA is filed under the name uncultured bacterium. Its description in RNAcentral is "partial 16S ribosomal RNA". It matches the Rfam family "Bacterial small subunit ribosomal RNA", at positions 29 to 507 of the family's 1533-position model. The record is from RNAcentral.